CCACUCACUACCCCUAAGACUGCUGCUCAGUAUGAAAACAUUUGCGAGGCCUUAAUUAAUCAUGCGGAUGAAGGAAAGAUGUCUUUCUAUACAGUAUAAAUGCUUCCUUUGAGAAGGAUGAGGGGCAAACUUGAGCCAGACCAGUGUCCCUGGAGAGAAGUUUCCCAGUAGUGAACCCAAUUUGAUGGCCAGGUGAGGAGAAGUCUCACUUGACACUUGGUGAGGAAACUGAGGCCUACAGAGAAUGACUUGCCCAUGAUCGCUGGCAGUCAGAGGCAGAUCUGAGAUCCGAACACAGGACUUCUGACUCCAGAUCUCCCUCUUUCCACUGCACAGAUGUACCUGAAGAAAUUGCAAUAUAGAAGUCUCCUCAACUUUGAGAAUGGACAGACAAUCCUUCUGCCCUGGAGCAUUAUCAGGAGCCACCAACAUGAGACUAGGUGUCUGAAGCAACACCUGAACCCAGGUCUUCUUCACCCCAAGGCUGGUCUUUUAUCCAUGUGUCUGUGUGUCCCUCCUGUGGAGAACAAUAAUGAGAACAAUAUAUGACAUUCAGCAGCUACAAUCCAUAUGAAUUAGUUCAUAAACCUCACUUUCUUUAGAACUAAAAAUCACAAGCCAGAUGAACAAUUGAGUGUGUAUGCUGUUCAGAAAGUGUUCAUCUCUAAGCUUCAGACAAAUGAUUAAGCCAAAGGCAGGUUAGCCAGACCUGCCUGUGUUUACUUUCCAAAAUAGAUAAAGGCCUCUUUAGGGUCACAGAAAAAUGCUUUAUCAGCAGAGAAAGUCAUACAUAUUGAGGAUGUUCGGCCUUCUUUUUUAAAAGGUAGUAUUUUAUUUUUCUAAUUACAUGUAAAGACAAUUUUUAAUGUGCAUUAAAAAAAAUUUUUUUAGUUCCAAAUUUUUCUUCCUCUCUCCCUGAACUGGUAAGCAAUUUGAUUUAGGUUCUAUAUCUUUUAGCCUCCUUCUUAAAAAAAAAAAUUAAAGUCUGGCUUUCUUUUAGGCUUUUUAUCUCCUUAGAGAGAUACUGAAAGAAACAAGCUAUAAAAAACAACAAUAAAGCAUGUUGCAAAUAUUCGAUUUCUCCUAAAAGCCAAGGAAUACUAAAGAAAGUGAAGAUAAUAAAUCUGAUGUCUCCUUUUAUGGGUUGGGAACCAAUAAAUAAGCAAAUACAUUCUCAAUUUGAGAAUAUCCGACAACUUAUUACAAUAAUGAUGACUUUCAAAUAUGUAUUAAACAAUU
This is a long non-coding RNA of Dromiciops gliroides (monito del monte), 1239 nucleotides long. RefSeq lists it as uncharacterized. The transcript has 4 exons. The record is from RefSeq and is a predicted model, not a curated record. Lineage: Eukaryota; Metazoa; Chordata; Mammalia; Microbiotheria; Microbiotheriidae.